RNAcentral lists this non-coding RNA (65 nucleotides) under Bizionia argentinensis. RNAcentral's name for it is "Fluoride sequence". It matches the Rfam family "Fluoride riboswitch aptamer (crcB RNA motif)". The record is from RNAcentral. Lineage: Bacteria; Pseudomonadati; Bacteroidota; Flavobacteriia; Flavobacteriales; Flavobacteriaceae. RNAcentral also lists the same sequence under 1 other name.
CAAAUAUUUGGCAAUGAGGUCUGCCUUAAACCGUUCUAUCUAGAGCUAAUGACAUCUACUUUAAU